This 226-nucleotide ribosomal RNA is filed under the name uncultured eukaryote. RNAcentral's name for it is "partial small subunit ribosomal RNA". It matches the Rfam family "Eukaryotic small subunit ribosomal RNA", at positions 1208 to 1456 of the family's 1831-position model. The record is from RNAcentral.
GGGAAACUCACCAGGUCCAGAUGAAAUAAGGAUUGACAGAUUGAGAGCUCUUUCUUGAUUUUUCAGGUGGUGGUGCAUGGCCGUUCUUAGUUGGUGGAGUGAUUUGUCUGCUUAAUUGCGAUAACGAACGAGACCUUAACCUGCUAAAUAGCCAGGCUAGCUUUGGCUGGUCGCCGGCUUCUUAGAGGGACUAUCGGCUCAAGCCGAUGGAAGUUUGAGGCAAUAA